GAGUAACGCGUGAGAAUCUGCCUUCAGGAUGGGGACAACAGUUGGAAACGACUGCUAAUACCCGAUAUGACGAAAGUUGAAAGAUUUAUCGCCUGGAGAUGAGCUCGCGUCAGAUUAGCUAGAUGGUGUGGUAACGGCGCACCAUGGCGACGAUCUGUAGCUGGUCUGAGAGGAUGAGCAGCCACACUGGGACUGAGACACGGCCCAGACUCCUACGGGAGGCAGCAGUGGGGAAUUUUCCGCAAUGGGCGCAAGCCUGACGGAGCAAUACCGCGUGAGGGAGGAAGGCUCUUGGGUCGUAAACCUCUUUUCUCAGGGAAGAACACAAUGACGGUACCUGAGGAAUCAGCAUCGGCUAACUCCGUGCCAGCAGCCGCGGUAAUACGGAGGAUGCAAGCGUUAUCCGGAAUGAUUGGGCGUAAAGCGUCCGUAGGUGGUUAUGUAAGUCUGUGGUUAAAGCGUGGGGCU
RNAcentral lists this ribosomal RNA (468 nucleotides) under uncultured cyanobacterium. RNAcentral's name for it is "bacterial SSU rRNA". It matches the Rfam family "Bacterial small subunit ribosomal RNA", at positions 108 to 609 of the family's 1533-position model. The record is from RNAcentral. Lineage: Bacteria; Bacillati; Cyanobacteriota.